UUUGACCAAAUAUAUUCACUUUAUCCAAAGUCUCACAUUUCUUCCAUUCAUCAUCAACUUCACCUUCAAAAAGUUUAAAAUCAUUAUAAUUAUUAACCACAUUUAUAAAAUUAUUAUUCUUCAAUAUUUUUUGUCUUAUCUUCUUUUUUCUCUUGAUUCGAACUUUUGUUACUUUUUCUUUCUAUUUUGAUUGGAAUCUUUAUUUUUCUUUCUUCCUCCAUUAACCAAAAC
This 231-nucleotide long non-coding RNA is filed under the name Lathyrus oleraceus (garden pea). RNAcentral describes it as "Pisum sativum (pea) long non-coding RNA (PSAT_LNC003611)". The record is from RNAcentral. Lineage: Eukaryota; Viridiplantae; Streptophyta; Magnoliopsida; Fabales; Fabaceae.